RNAcentral lists this ribosomal RNA (250 nucleotides) under uncultured bacterium. Its description in RNAcentral is "partial 16S ribosomal RNA". It matches the Rfam family "Bacterial small subunit ribosomal RNA", at positions 515 to 764 of the family's 1533-position model. The record is from RNAcentral.
CCGCGGUAAUACGGAGGGUGCAAGCGUUAAUCGGAAUUACUGGGCGUAAAGCGCACGCAGGCGGUUUGUUAAGUCAGAUGUGAAAUCCCCGGGCUCAACCUGGGAACUGCAUCUGAUACUGGCAAGCUUGAGUCUCGUAGAGGGGGGUAGAAUUCCAGGUGUAGCGGUGAAAUGCGUAGAGAUCUGGAGGAAUACCGGUGGCGAAGGCGGCCCCCUGGACGAAGACUGACGCUCAGGUGCGAAAGCGUGG